Molecule: ribosomal RNA, 463 nt
Filed under: uncultured bacterium
Lineage: Bacteria
Description: partial 16S ribosomal RNA
Rfam family: Bacterial small subunit ribosomal RNA
Source: RNAcentral
GACGAACGCUGGCGGCGUGCUUAACACAUGCAAGUCGAACGGAAAGGCCUUUUCGGAGGUACUCGAGUGGCGAACGGGGGAGUAACACGUGGGUGAUCUGCCCUGCACUCUGGGAUAAGCCUGGGAAACUGGGUCUAAUACCGGAUAGGACCGCACUUUAGUGUGGGGGGUGGGAAGGUUUUUCGGUGUAGGAUGAGCCCGCGGCCUAUCAGCUUGUUGGGGGGGUAAUGGCCUACCAAGGCGGGGACGGGUAGCCGGACUGAGAGGUUGGUCGGCCACAUUGGGACUGAGAUACGGCCCAGACUCCUACGGGAGGCAGCAGUGGGGAAUAUUGCACAAUGGGCGCAAGCCUGAUGCAGCGACGCCGCGUGGGGGAUGACGGCCUUCGGGUUGUAAACUCCUUUCGCCAGGGACGAAGCGUUUUGUGACGGUACCUGGAGAAGAAGCACCGGCUAACUACGUG